AGGACGAACGCUGGCGGCGUGCUUAACACAUGCAAGUCGAGCGGUAAGGCCCUUUCGGGGGUACACGAGCGGCGAACGGGUGAGUAACACGUGAGCAAUUCUGCCCUUCACUUCGGGAUAAGCCUCGGAAACGGGGUCUAAUACCGGAUAUGACUGCGCCAUGCAUGUGGUGUGGUGGAAAGUUUCUGGCGGUGAGGGAUGAGCUCGCGGCCUAUCAGCUUGUUGGUGGGGUAAUGGCCCACCAAGGCUUCGACGGGUAGCCGGCCUGAGAGGGUGACCGGCACACUGGGACUGA
Molecule: ribosomal RNA, 295 nt
Filed under: uncultured soil bacterium
Lineage: Bacteria
Description: partial 16S ribosomal RNA
Rfam family: Bacterial small subunit ribosomal RNA
Source: RNAcentral